CACUUGACCGUUUGCUGCUGGUUUUGCAACAGCGCUGCCAGAAGAUGCAGAAAAAACAUAAUGGGGAAAAGAAAUGGCAUAAUUUGCAGGAGAUACUUUUCUCAUCUCAUUUAAAUGAAGAUCGUUUGUUCCUGGAUGUCAGAAACAUCAAGAGCAACAAAAAUAUGGAAAUUGGUAAUUUCUUGCACUAGGAAUACUUCCAGAUCUUUGGAGAUUCUGUCUGAUUCUAGCAACUACUAAAAGAUGUGUCCGAGCCAAACUUCCAGCAUAAAAUAACUUCAAACCUCAGAAACUUGAAAUCUGGGCCUGAAUUUUUUAAGUCUUUGGCCCCAAAUGCUUCUCUCAUCACCUGCCAGAACGUCCUCAAAACUGGGAGAGGAAUCACAAUCCCUAACAUAUUCCUUAAUCAUUUGGAAGAAAUACAGACAAAAUGGAGCUGAACAAGGUGAUCAUGGGCUGUCUGACACAGCCUUUCAUGUUUAGCUCUGCUUGUGUAUUUUCCAGUCCUUCCAUAACACAUAACAUGGGAUGAGAGCAUGGGGCAGGAGCCCUUUGUGCUCCCAGGAUCUGCUCCAGCCAUAAAAGACUUCUCAGAGGCUCCUGGAUGGGAUUUUUCUGACUCAGGAGAGGGGGGAUUAGCUCUCCAUUCUGACCUCAUCCCGUUUGAUUUUCUUUUACCUCAACCAAAGACAGAUGAGCUCAUCUAGAGCUGAGGCAUCUCUUCCCUCUUCACUGGUCACUUCUUUUAUUGCGGGUAGGGUAGAAUUGCCUGUCGUGGGUGAUGAUUCCUCCAUGGACUCCAGGAAGCCUGGAGAACUCCUUGAGUCUGUCAGCUUUAAUUUGUAGAGUAUAUAAUGGGGGACAAAUCCCAUCCAGUCUUCCCAUCUGUCCAAUUCUUAUUUUCAGCCACAACAGCUCCAGUGCCAGUCUCCUGUAGGAAUCAGAGGUGAAGGCCAGCAGCCUCGAAUGCUGGAGGAACAAAGAGCACCCUGACUCAUUUUACACCGAAUGUUCUUUCCCCAAAGCCUCUAUCUUUUCACACUUUUCCCCAGCUGCUCCUCAUGAUGCCUGUGUAUUUUACAGAGGAAUUUUUUUCCCUGCUUCCUUUGGGGUGUCAGGGCUUUGUUUCACAGUUCCUACUCCUUGUAUCCAAGUCAAACCCAAAGAGCCUUCUAUUACCUUUCUUCUUCCUUUCCUUCCUCCCCCCAACAUCUCAGCAAGGCGGCCUGUUAAUCUCUUCUUUUGCAAAGAUUAGAAACGUGGCUUUUCUAUGACCUUUCUGAACAAUCAGGAUCCUGGAGUCCCCAAGAUGGGUCGCCAUUAUCUCAUCUUUUUGGGCUGUUAACAAUGAUUAAGCAGGACAAAGGAUGUGCUCAGAGCCAUGGAGUUUCAAUCAGUCCUUAGGGAGUACCUGGAAAUAAAAGCAAGCAGAGUAGGAAAGCUCCUGCAAAAAGAAAGGUUCGACCUUUAGAAAACAUCCUUGGUUGGUGCUUUCUCGCCUUUUCAAAUAUACAUAAGAAAAAUUUGCAAAAAGAGGCCUGUAAGUGCAGACACAGCUUCUGGACUCAUUCCCCAGAGGGCUGCUCCCACAGCAUGUGCCACUGGACAGAGCACUCCGGACUUGGGAAAACCAGGUAACAAACAGAAAUGCAAUUUAAAACUCUUAUUUUUGCUCAUGAUCUAUCUCACUGUCUGUCCACCUGUGUGCUCCAAUCUUUACAAGUUUUUCCACAGGUUUUGAUUACCUGAGUACAGCAGCUCUGAGCAAGGGAUGAGUGAUAUUUCCACCACUCCCAAUCCAUCUCACAACAGAGCUGGGGCUCUUCAAGGUGCAAUUCCUUUACCAGCUCCUAUUUCCAGCAGUUUCUCAUCUGUGUCUCACCUUUCCCAGGGAUAAAGAGCACCCGGCAGGGCCAGGUGAGUGAGCAGCAGGUGAGUUACCAGCAUGGAAGCUUUCCCAUCCAGCCCAAGGCUUCAAAGUGCUGUGGUUUGGUUUUGCGGACUCCAAAGUCUUGCAGUGCAUGUGCGAGAACCUUGUGUUUGUCACGUGCUGCUGUCAUCUCACAGAGGGCAAACAACUGACCAAACAAACCAAGAAUUGAGUUGGAAUAUUCUGUUACCUUUCCUUGUCCACAGAACAGGGGAAGAAACUGAAAGGCAGACACAUCUCUUGAGAAGACCAUGGCCAGAGGCUGUCUGAACCAGAUCAGAGGGCAGAGGGAUGUGUAUAAAGUGAGCUGGCUCACACACACAUUCAUACUUGGCUGUAUAAUGGGAUGUUCAGGGGAACACAUUGAGACAGAGAGAUUUAGAAUCACAGAACACUUUGGAAGGGACUUCAAAGAUCAUCUCUUUCCACCCCCUGCCAUGGGCAGGGACACCUUCCACUAUCCCACGUUGCUCCAACCUGGACUUGGACACUGCCAGGAAACUAGGGGCAGCCACAGCUUCUCUGGGCACCAUGUGCCAGGGCCUCACACCCUCACUGAAUGAAAGUUCCCAAUAUCCACUCAUCCAAUUCUCUAUGUCUUGUCCAACAAGUCUCUUUCUGCCUCUUGAAAGCAUCUCUGCCAAGUGGCUGCAAGAGAAGCAAAGGCAAGGAGGGGAGUCAUUAACAGAAAGUUUAGAAGAGAGGAAUAAAAGAUUUUUUUUUUUUUUAAAUGGGCUAAAGUGUGAAGAAUGGCCUUUGUGAACAAUUCAGUCAUUUAUCAUUAUUUCAUUGGCAUUGUAUGAAUUAUACAUUCAGACUAUAAUGGAGUAAUAUCUCAUCUCCUUUCCCCCUCAGUGGGCACUGAAUGAAUGGCCAGGUGAGCUGCACUUGGAGCAGCACCAUUCUCCAGGAGAGUCACUGCUCACCUCCCGCUGCUCUCCUGAAUUUCUGUUCUACAAGUGCAUGUUGAUCUUUUAUCAGUCUUUUCUGGGUGUUAAAAUUAAUGAGUAUUUAGAAAAUAGCUUUUGUCUUUUUAAUUAUUUUUGUUAUUUUUAUUUCCCUAUGGAAAGACAGAAGAGUGGAGGGGCAGAGAAGGGGGAAAAAAGCUAGAGCCAAACAAUAUAGUUUUGCAGUUGGUCCAAGAGCUAAGGGAUGAGUGGACACAAUCUUUCUUAUAGUGGCUCAGCUGAUGGGUAGGAAAAUGCUAAACUGACUUAGCUGACCAAUAUUUUUUUGAGUGGUUUUGUACUUGCAUAGUUGCCUGUAAAAAUACUGGCUCACAGUCACAAUAUCAAUGGAAUUUGCCCCUUCAAAACUGCUGUUUCACUUCAGAGAGCUCUGGCUUUUCCCCCAGGAGAAGGGUCUACUCCAACCCACUAAGAGGGUUAAUAAAAGUAUUCCUGCUGCAAGAGAUUGGAGGAGCUGUGAACUCUGGUUUAAGAGGCAGGCAGUGAGGUGUCUGCUUAGCAGACUAUCAGGAUCCAUCAGAAACUAACAGUAGCCAUAAACCUCAAUGGAUUAACUUCCAUCCAUUUUGAUUUCCAGCUGUAUUGCACCUUGGCUGUGUCACUGCCAAAAUAAGAGGUCCUAAAUAGAAUAGCAAUUAUCUCAAUAUCAUUAAUUCAGUGGGCACUUUUUUCAAUUUUCUCUGUCACAUGUUGAUUCCUGCACCUCUUCCCUGCUCCCAGGUUUCCCUCUCUCUUCCACAGAAGAGUAUUUCCUCCUCCCAGAUGACCUGUUAGAGAGAUGGAGCCCUAGAGCACUCCAGAUUUUGGGAACAGAGGUCUCUGAUGCAGGACUGACCUUUACUCAUGCUGAAGAAGUGGAUUUGGAAGGGAGAAAAAGGCUUUUGAUGCUUAAAAGCUUCUGCAGGAGGAAACUCUACACACCUGAGGUCACACCUGGGACAGCUUCGUCACCAACAUGGUUUAUUCCUAAUGAAGGAAGUCUGGUUGUGGCAAGGAAAUGGAGGUGUUGACUGUGGCUUUUAGUGUAAAAUAUAAUAUUUGUGUAAACCCUCAAACUGUGGAGCAAGACCUGGAACAUAAAGAGAGACAAACCCGACUAUUAUCCUGAUAGACUCAAGUGCAAAGAAAAGAAGGGCUGCUGCUCCUGUGGUAACCCCUGUUAAGGAAUGUUUAGAGAUGAAAUUUCUGAGCUGAACAGUCUCAGCUAAAAUAGUAUCCUAGCUCCAGGCUCUUUGAGAGGUUGCUUUUAAGAUGCAAUGGAAAACUGAUGCCCUGACCUCUUGUGGUCACUAAACACACAGAGCCAGAUUUCCCAAGCAUAUGAUCGUUUUCAACGCAGUCUCCUUCCGAGAUUUUUAUUUGCUUUAGUGAAUAAUGUUCUCUCCAGUGCUCCCUUCACAAUUUCACCAGGGCAGGGACUUACUCAGCAUUCCCAAUUCUUUUGUAGAAGGCACAGUGUGAUGUGGUUGGAAGGGUCCACCCCCAGUAAAUUCCAGAACCCAUUGCAAUGGACCACAGACAAUGAAAUAAUAUUGGAAUGUGACCUGCUGUCCUGCAUAGCUGCUUCCAAGGAUUCCUUGGGAGCAGUGCUGCCUUCUGGGGCAUCUGAAAUGAUCCUUGAAUGUUAUUUGACACUCAAAGUUCAGAAGUAACAACAAGACCUUUCAGAAUGAGAGGAUGCAGGCUGACUAUAAGAAUGUAUUUUUGUCGCUGCCUCGAAAUGUUUCAGGAUGUUUUCAGCACAGAAACCAUUCUUGAAGAGCUGACAAAAGGAGUCGGGUGAAGGAUCCUUUGUAUGGGUGUCAGCAGUCUAAAUUAUACGAGAGCCGAGUUUCCAACAUAUCUUAUGGUUACUGUCUGUGUCUAGUGAGUUUUGCUGUAAAGAAAUGAUGGGUUUUGAGCCAACCAUCUGGUGUGACCACAUGGGAAACCAGAAUUUGAUUCACACCUCUGCAGGCAAGAGUCAGAUGCUGGGAACAUUGAGGACCUGACUGCAGGGCUUGAAAAACAUCAUUCUUUUCACUCCAUCUUUGCCCAGCGCUGAUGGGGACCUACAGAUACAAAUACAGCCUGUGAGAUGACCACUGACAUUUCAGAAGAGGCUGAAAGCUUUGAGGGUGAAUAGCUUAUGCUGCUAGGGGAGAAUUAAAAACAGUCAGAGAGAAAAUAUAUUACAUAUAAUACAAAUUAGUUGUUAAUGUGUUUGACCUACUGCCUUUUUGGUUGGCUUCUGGGUCUUUUGUGGAGAAGAGGUCCCCAGUGUGAGAUGUGGUUUUCUUCAUUCCAUAAAGCUGCAGGAAUAACUUCCUUGUAUGAAGACAUAGUGGAGUGAAGCAGGAUGCUUUCCAGGGGGCGAUUAAUUGACAAUAUUUUUUUCUUUUAAAACCAAAAUAUUGGUAUUUACUAUGAUCAUGACAAAGUAGACAUAGCCUGAGCUUCCUUCCUCCUUCUUUCAUAAAGCUCCUCUCUCAUGGCCAUCACCAGAAUCUGUGAUUCCUGCCUCGUAUGCCCCGUGACCUCAGAUUCAGAGAGAGGAUGGGAUAAUUCCCAAGGUAUUUGAGUAAGGUGCUUGUCUGGAUGAGACUGCUGAACGACUCAGCUCAUGCUGCUGGGGUUAAGAGGAUGUUUGUAAGUGCAAACCCAGUCUAGCAGUUCACAGGCUUCAAAUAGGGCAAAUGUGAGACAGAGUGAGGCUGUCCUCGGUCCAGCCAGUGAACACAUUUCCCACUGUGCGCCCAAACCCAAGGCCAGUGGCAUCCUCCUUCUGGAAGGCUGGCUCAGGGAGAGAGUGAUAGGGCUGGAGCUCUGUGGUCAUAAAGGUCUGUGCUGCUGCUGGGAGGUCACCCCAGGAUGAGGUGCAAAUGCUGUAAAAUGAGGGAGGAAGAGACCAUUGCCGACCAUAAUGCAUUAUGCACAAACAGUAAACAGAUACCCUCGGAAUGUUUUUGUCUGAGAUGGGGAAUAAAGCAAAAAUAGUCAGCAAGACAGAAGCAGAAGCCUAUCUCUCCUUUAACAAUCUGCACUCAACCGUGUUCCAAAUAGCCACUUGGCAACAAUUAUCUCAGAGGGAAAGUGGCGUGGAGUGCAGAAAAUAAGGGCAGAGCUGUGACAGUGGCACAGAGGCAAGCCAGGAUGUUGUUUUUGUUCAGCUCUCCUCCUGAAGCCAGUCCAGGUUGGUUUUGCCUCAAACUGGUCACGCUUUGGGAGCUGCUUUAAGACCCAAAUGUUUUUUAAAUGGCAGAGUGGUGAGUCAGGGGCUUGGUGGCGGCACACAGGGGCUGUCAGAGCAGGGCUUUAACCAGCAUCUCCUUCCCUGCUGCACAGCCUGCAGACUCGGGCUGUGCUCCUAGGGAGCUCCUCUCCAGGAGGCAAAGGCUGCUCUGUGGCCUAAUGGAUUAUUGAGGAAGAUUCCAAACAUUUUUGUCCUUUUUUGACAAGAAUUGAAAGGAAAACAAAAAGCCCACAGGGACAAGGAGUUUUCCUACAAAUUAAUUUCCACGAGAUAUUUCAAGAUAUCUCUGGCAUACUUGACUUCUAGUAUCAAAGGACUAUUUAAGUUAGAAGGUGAAACAAGGUAUAUGGACUGUUUGGUACUGAUUAGAAACUCUGAAGAAGCAGCUGAGGUAGAGACUAACUCAUGUUAUGAUUUUAUUUACUGCAGAUUCCGUGGUGAAGGUGACAGAGAGUACUGAGAGGAAACAUGAAAGAAACCCUUUUGUUUGCCACAACAUUAGAGUGAUUUGGCAUCCUUAUCAUCUUGUGACAUGAUGCAGGAAUAAGCAAGAUGAGGCUGGGAUUACAGUCCAUUAAUGCCUCUCACAUUCCUAGUGAAUCACCACCAGUUUUGUAGGCCCUCACACAGUCAGGAGUGGCUCCUGACCAGGUCAUUGGGGUGAUAUUUCAAGCAAAGAUAGAAUAAUUUUGAGAAUGGUUUAUCUCCUUUCCAGCCUGCGGUCAGAUAGCAUCCCUGUGGCAACCAUUUCAGUUGUCUAUGUGGAAAAGUAAUGUGCAGAAAGUAAUUUAAUGUAAUGGAUUGUUUAGCUUUCUUUUAAUUAAAUGUAGCAGCUGGAAACAAGGAGGAUACAGCUCUGUAUCACCAAGCAGGUCUCUAAUUGCAGGCAUCCUCCACAGAUCCUACUUAGUGUGCUGCCCUUUCAGCCCAAGAUGAAAACCCAAUACUAUUGAAUACCCCAAAACCUUCUGAUUUUCCCCCCACCUUUCAUUAAAUAUUUCAGUGGGUUGAUUUGUUUCUUUUGCUAUUUCUCUCUCUCCCCAAAACUCAAACUGCUGAUGAUAAAUGUGUGUCAAAGAAGCUACAGAAAUCACCUCUCCGAGGAGCCCAGCAGCUAGACAAGGGAGGAUAGUGCUGCAGUUCCUUGGGAAGCUGUCCUUUUCAAAUGACUGACUGAGGAGCUCUGACUGUUUAUUCCCACCAAAUGAUUCUGGCUUUUUGAAGAUGACUGAACACAUUGCUGGGCCUUUCAGCUGAGCUCCUUUCAAGAUGGGAUUCCCUGUGAUUUACACAGCUCUGCUCCUGGUGCUUGAGGAACUUCUCCAAGCGACAGAGCCACGUCCACCUUUGGACCUUCGAGGGAAAAAUAACAUAAAUGCAUAAAUAAAAUAUACUGCAAGAAGGGAAUGAGUCUGGUCAGCCUCACUGAGGAUGAAAGGAUGGGGUGCAGGAGUAGGAUGUGAGAAGUAAGAAGAAAAGCUGCAGUGAAGGAUUGACCUGACAGGAACACUUUGGAAAAAAAAAAGGAAAGAGGUCCAGUGUCCAUCCAGUGUAGGUGUCUGGGCACACACCUGGCAGCACCUUGGACAGCUGCACCACAGAAACCAGAGCUGUGAGUCAGAUCUGCUCAUUCUGUCACCAAAAAUCUGCUUUUCCUCCCAAGCUUUUCCUCUCUUUUGUUUGCAACUCAAUCUAGAGGGACCUUCUGACAAGGUACCUUUAUCCAUCAGACUGCCAAGAACUUAAAAACCUCUCAUUUGUCCAUUUAAUGAAACGGGCACUGCUGGCUUGGUUGUUUUGGUUUUCUUUGCUCUGAAUAAAUGAUUGCCCCCCAAGUGUAAUUUUUUUCUCAAGUAAACAGAUUUGGUCCUGAUUACUGCUAGGGAGAGAAGGGGGUAUUUUCAGAGAUGAUGGAUAUACACCCAUGAUGUGCUGGUAGCUUUACACCAGAGAAGGCUGCUCUAGGAUGGACAUCCAGAGAGGAUGGGAAAUCACAUACAAAUGGAGGGAAAAGGAAGAAUUCCCAGGAAAAACACCAACAUCAGCAAACCAAAAUGGGAGAAAAAUAUGACUGAAGUGGACAGAGAAUAAAAAUGAAGAAUGAUGGUCUACAAGGGCCCAAAGGGCCCAUCCUCAUCUUGAUCAGUUACAGAUCUGCUCAAAUCACCAGACUGGAAUAAUCCAACCCCCCAGGUCAACCAUUUAAAGUCUUAGAUCUAAGACUAAGACCUUUCUGAGUACCUGUAAGAUUUGUCCGAUCGUUGCUGAUGCCAGCUCAUUGCCAGGUUUGUGGCCCUUCAGCACCAAGCUGAGGGUUCAAAGCUGAGCACAUCUUUCCACCUGCUGGCUUUUCCCAUCAAGGCAAAGCACGAGGUGUCCAAGCCAGGGCCUGGAAUUACAGGAGCAGCCUGUGUCAGCAUCUCUGUUAGCAAUGGCAUCCUUGACCUUCUGGAAAACCCUGCCUGUGGCAGGAGUGUGUCCCAUGCCAACCCCACUGGUGUUGCUGUGGUGCAGAAACAGAAUGCAAAGUUUGGGAUAGCCAAAGUUGCACUCCUCACCUGCAAGAUUAACAACAUCUCUGCUUGUUCUCCUUCACCAGAGGACACAGAAAUUCCCAACUCUGCACAGGAACUUAAAAAAAAUGUCCUUCUCUUUUUUGGUUUUUUGGUUAUACAAACAGAAAGGUGACAGAGGUAUCACCACCAGACCUUCUGCAGGGAGGAGCCCAUCCAUCAGUCCCCAGGGACAAGUUUGCUGUAGGAUUAGCUCAGGUGAAGGACACACAAAGGUGUCUGAAAUUAUACAAGAUGGAUUUGCUGAAGGAUUUGCUCAGGCACGUGAAACAGGUUGAGGUGUUUGGGAUCCCACUGAUGGAUUUGCUCUAGGAUCUGCCAGAAAAUAAAUCUAUACCAUUUAGACCAAAGGCCUCAGGUACAACAGUCUUGUAUGGUUUUCUUGGGCCAUAAAAAAAGUGUAAAAGUAUAUAGACUAUAUAAAAAUUAUGUAAAAUUAUAAAUAAAUACUUGAGAACAAUUAAUGCUGUAAGAUUUUUCCAGAAGAGAAACAGUCUCACAGGCCAACCCCUGUAAGUGCAUUCUGCAUUACCCCAUCACACGCUGACAAACCAAGAUGACUUGUUGCUUAUGGAAUUUCUUGUGAUCAUCAAACCAGCUGAAAGUCUGGCUUGAGUAAUUAAAAUGCUAAUUGGAAAUUCACCAUUCAUCAGAGGAAAUAGCAAUGAGUUCCUUUAUUUUUUUUCCUUUUUUUUUCCUCCAGCAUUUUCUCUCUAGUGGUGGCAGAUGUUGGGGUUGUGAAUUCAUUGUCUGUCAGAGACACAGCAAAAUCCUCUUUCCAUACCAGUUUUCUGUAUUUUUGUUGAUUGUCUACUUAAAUUAACCUUCUCUAAUGAGAUGAAGAUACGCAGGGUAUGCCUGUAAUUUACAGGCUGUGAAAUUAGUGAGCACAGAUGUAAUCCAUCCUGAUGGGUGACAGGGACUGGGCAGCUCCCAGAGUACCCAGGCAGAGGAGAGGAUGGCCAUGUACCUUUAAUGCAUGGUUCCCAGUGCAAAUUUUUCUGAUUUUUAACUAAUAUAUGACGUAAUGAAGUUGUUUAUGCUUUUGUUCUGUUGGGGAGGAAAGGAGUCAGCUUUCCUUCAAAGCCUGUGGCAGAAAUCUUGAAG
Motacilla alba alba is the source of this 9810-nucleotide long non-coding RNA. RefSeq lists it as uncharacterized. NCBI's taxonomy places the organism in Eukaryota, Metazoa, Chordata, Aves, Passeriformes, Motacillidae. The transcript is spliced from 3 exons. The record is from RefSeq and is a predicted model, not a curated record.